Molecule: unclassified non-coding RNA, 335 nt
Filed under: soil metagenome
Description: partial contains 5.8S ribosomal RNA, internal transcribed spacer 2, and large subunit ribosomal RNA
Rfam family: 5.8S ribosomal RNA (bases 1-120)
Source: RNAcentral
GAUGAAGAACGUAGCGAAAUGCGAUAAGUAAUGUGAAUUGCAGAAUUCAGUGAAUCAUCGAAUCUUUGAACGCACAUUGCGCCCGCCAGUAUUCUGGCGGUCAUGCCUGUUCGAGCGUCAUUUCAACCAUCAAGCCCCCGGCUUGUGUUGGGGACCUGCGGCUGCCGCAGGCCCUGAAAACCAGUGGCGGGCUCGCUAGUCACUCCGAGCGUAGUAAUACAUCUCGCUCAGGGCGUGCUGCGGGUUCCGGCCGUUAAAAAGCCUUAUUUACCCAAGGUUGACCUCGGAUCAGGUAGGAAGACCCGCUGAACUUAAGCAUAUCAAUAAGCGGAGGA